RNAcentral lists this ribosomal RNA (465 nucleotides) under uncultured bacterium. RNAcentral describes it as "bacterial SSU rRNA". It matches the Rfam family "Bacterial small subunit ribosomal RNA", at positions 28 to 507 of the family's 1533-position model. The record is from RNAcentral.
GACGAACGCUGGCGGCGUGCCUAACACAUGCAAGUCGAGCGGGGACAGAGGCUUCGGCCGAUGUUCUAGCGGCGGACGGGUGAGUAACGCGUGAGCAACCUUUCCUCUACUGGGGAAUAACACCGGGAAACUGGUACUAAUACCGCAUGAGACCACAGCAUCGCAUGGUGCAGGGGUCAAAGAUUUAUCGGUAGAGGGUGGGCUCGCGUCUGAUUAGAUAGUUGGUGGGGUAACGGCCUACCAAGUCGACGAUCAGUAGCCGACCUGAGAGGGUGAUCGGCCACAUUGGGACUGAGACACGGCCCAAACUCCUACGGGAGGCAGCAGUGGGGAAUAUUGGGCAAUGGGCGAAAGCCUGACCCAGCAACGCCGCGUGAAGGAAGAAGGCCCUCGGGUUGUAAACUUCUUUUACCAGGGACGAACACAAUGACGGUACCUGGAGAAAAAGCAACGGCUAACUACGUG